RNAcentral lists this transfer RNA (69 nucleotides) under Salmonella enterica subsp. arizonae serovar 62:z4,z23:-. Its description in RNAcentral is "Salmonella enterica subsp. arizonae serovar 62:z4,z23:-- tRNA". It matches the Rfam family "tRNA". From Rfam's summary of the family: Transfer RNA (tRNA) molecules are approximately 80 nucleotides in length. Their secondary structure includes four short double-helical elements and three loops (D, anti-codon, and T loops). Lineage: Bacteria; Pseudomonadati; Pseudomonadota; Gammaproteobacteria; Enterobacterales; Enterobacteriaceae. The record is from Rfam by way of RNAcentral.
GUGGUUAUCGUAUAACGUUAUUACCUCAGUAUCUGGCUGAUGAUGUGGGUUAGAUUCCCACUGACCACU